GGUCCCUUCGUCUAUCGGUUAGGACAGCUGGUUUUCAUCCUGCAAAGGGGGGUUCGAUUCCCCCAGGGACCGCCA
RNAcentral lists this transfer RNA (75 nucleotides) under Candidatus Pelagibacter communis. Its description in RNAcentral is "tRNA-Glu". It matches the Rfam family "tRNA". From Rfam's summary of the family: Transfer RNA (tRNA) molecules are approximately 80 nucleotides in length. Their secondary structure includes four short double-helical elements and three loops (D, anti-codon, and T loops). RNAcentral also lists the same sequence under 62 other names. The record is from RNAcentral. Lineage: Bacteria; Pseudomonadati; Pseudomonadota; Alphaproteobacteria; Candidatus Pelagibacterales; Candidatus Pelagibacteraceae.